CGGGACGGGUGAGUAAUGUCUGGGAAAUGCCUGAUGGAGGGGGGUAACUACUGGAAACGGUAGCUAAUACCGCAUAACGUCGCAAGACCAAAGAGGGGGACCUUCGGGCCUCUUGCCAUCGGAUGUGCCCAGAUGGGAUUAGCUAGUAGGUGGGGUAACGGCUCACCUAGGCGACGAUCCCUAGCUGGUCUGAGAGGAUGACCAGCCACACUGGAACUGAGACACGGUCCAG
This 232-nucleotide ribosomal RNA is filed under the name uncultured bacterium. RNAcentral describes it as "partial 16S ribosomal RNA". It matches the Rfam family "Bacterial small subunit ribosomal RNA", at positions 100 to 334 of the family's 1533-position model. The record is from RNAcentral.